GACGUCAUCAACAUGACGUACAAAAUGGCGUUCCUGGGAGAUAAAUUUUGAUUCCGGUUGACAAACAUGAGAAAAUAACCAAUAUUUGCAUUACUGUAUUACAGUAGACGGGAUGAGGAACCUUCAAGCAGAUGGUGGUAACCAAUCCUAGCCAACAUAGUCAAGACAUGUCUCCAAGUUGAGAAUCUUCAUUACACUAUGUUUCAAGUGUUAUUGACGCUUUGUUGCAAUUAACUAUUGCACAACGGUAAUAAGUAAUAGUUAUAAAAUACUCAUCACAGAACGAACAAUUAAUCAGAUAAUUUAAAUUAUGUUGGUGUUCUUAGAAAACUACAUUUAUAAUUUGAUUUUUUACUUCCACUUAAAUGUAUGAGUCAAAUUUUAUUGCUUGAAUAAUGAGUAACCACACAUCAAACAUUUAUAAAUUUUGAUUGGUACUAGAUUUCUAGUUGUGAACUAAACUUUUAAACUGACAAUAAUUGUGUUGAAAAAUUUCGAUUUGAAGUUGCUAUUUUGUGAUUGCCUAAAUUUGUAAAUGUAUAAAAAUGUUAAAGUGGUGUAUUUUCUUACAUUUUCCCUAUGUCAUAAUGUCAAUGUUUUCCAGAUGGACGAAACAUGCUUUGUGUGUCAGCUGCCGUUUGGAGACCAGCCUGUGGUAACACUUGGGGAUAAAGGGAGUGAGAGUGUUAACAGAGCGAGUUUACACCGAGGAACUCAAAUAAAAGCAGAACCGGGACAGUGUGUUUAUGUAAAUUGUUAACGUGACAAUAUACACACACGAAAUAUUAAAACAGAUAUGGACAAGAACAACAACAAUGUCUUCUUCUAGUGUCACUCGAAUGUCUGAACAUAGUUUUGAAUUUAAAACCAAAUGCAUGUUUUGUGGAAUAAAUGCCAAAUGUAAUAAUAAAAAAAACGUGGCCCUGAUGUUUUCCCUGUCAGAACGUUUAACUUUCAGGAAAUUGUUCAGAAUAAAUGUAUGGAACGGAAUGAUGACUGGGAUGAUGCCGUAUUUGGUAGGCUGUCUGCAGUUAUAGACCUGCCAGCUGCCGAAGCUCGCAACCAUCAAACAUGUAAUGUUAACUUCAGGACAGAUCGCCUAAUCCCAAAGCAGUUUCAGUGAUCAAAUCAGACUCUACACAGUUCAGGAAGGCCCGAAAAAGCUUUAGAAGCCUCCAAUUUCGCCAUGAAGUACAAAGAAGAAAAUGCCGAUGGUAAGACAUUAACAGUAAGUGAUAUAGUUGAUAUUGUUGCUCAUAAAUGUGAUGAAGAUUCUGCCUUCUCUGUAAAACAUAUGAAAAAAACUACAAGAUUAUUUUGGUGAUGCAAUUGUAAUAAGUUCUUUAGAUGGAAAGCAUGACAUUAUCACUCUGAAAGAAACGACUGCAACCAUUAUACAUUCAAAUUCUUUCGCUAAAAGUAAACGUGAAACAUCAGAUGAAAAUGAAAAGGCACGUAUUAUUAAAACAGCAGCUAACCUUAAUAAGGCUGAUAUUGAUAAAGCAGAGGCUCACAAAGACUUGUAUCCUUCUCCUGAUAUCAUAGGAUCACUUGAGGAAAAUUUGAAAUAUGUCCCAGAUAGUCUUGGAAUAUUGUUGAAUACAUUAUUCAGUAGUAAAGGAAGUAAUACAAAGGUAGGCUCCAUUGGACAAGCUAUAAUGCAGGCUAUGAGACCACGUGGAAUUAUAGCGCCAUUACAGAUUGGACUAGGGGUGCAGAUGCAUCGGCUGUUUGGCUCUCAUUUCCUUGUGGGCACUUUAAAUAAACUUGGGUUUUGUUCGUCGUACCACGAGAUCCAGCGGUAUCAAGAAUUCUGCAAAAACACUGAACCGAACCGUACCUGCCUUUUCUGAAGGAUUUUUUUUUUACAAUUUGUGUCUGACAAUGUGGACCACAAUAUCGGGACUUCGGACGGCAAUGACACCUACCAUGGUAUGGGUACUAUUGCUUGCGUAACACCUGCAACGAAAUCAACUACUCAAAUUCCAAGAAAUGAAAUAUCCAUAGAAGAGGUUGCAGAACUUGGAAGAAUAAAAAUACAUUUCUUUUCGCAUAAGGAGCACGAACCAAUUGUUUUCAGCAAACUUUCAGUUCCAAUUGUAGAACCGCAACCAAUUGACUUUUUCUGCAUAGUGUUAUGACCAGUAGAACCAAAAAGGCCUUUGUAAUCCGGAUUCAUGCAGCUGUAUGACCAUCCGAAGGAAGCGUCCCAUCCAGGAGUUUCCGCGAUCAAAUUCCUGCCGAUGAUUGAUCUAAAUCCUAGCGAUUUGAAUUGUAUAUACACACCAAUGAGUUUUGUUUGUGACCAAGCAAAGACAUACGGAGUCACACCAGUAUUACCAUUUGACCAGCCAUUAUUUGCAAAAGCAACUUACAUCGCCCAGUGUGAACAGAAUUCAAUGAAAAACAUAGUGUUGCGAUUGGGACCUUUCCACACCGAGAUGAGUUUCUUAGGUUCCAUUGGUCAUUUGAUGGCUGGCUCAGGUCUGCAGGAAUUGCUUGCUACAGUUUAAGCACCGAAUGCUGUAGUCCAUAUGAUGUCAGGAAAAGCCGUCGCAAGAGCUGUCCGUGGUCAUUUUCUUGUGGAUACAGCUAUUCAUGCCAUAUUACUGCAGAAGACAGUGGGAAUAACUCACCCUGCAAUGAGUACAAGUAAUGAAGAAAAUAAAGUUCUGAAAAGGGUAGUGAUGUGGAUCUAGAUUAUUUUGAAGAAAACAUUGAAAUAAAAACAAGUACCGAUAACAAACAAGGAGUGACAGAAGAUGAUUUUGCCUCAGAAUAUUUGUUCAAGGAAAUUGGCAGAGAUACUGAAGAAAAAGGGACAAUAGGAGAACAUUUAGCAGAAACGUACUAAAGUCUUCGAAAGAAAAAUGUAGCGUGCAGCAAUCAAAGAAGACACACAAAUACAGCUAUUGUAUUCAGAUGUACACGAAUAUAAAAACAAAACAAAACAAGGAAAUAGAACAGGAAGCUUAUGGAUACAAUAUGAUCUCGAUCUUACAAAAUUUCCUCCGUGCAGAAAGAACCGGCAAUUGGCAGUUGCAUCUUUCUUCAUUACAAGACAUGCUUCCGUAUUUCGCUGCAUCAGGACACUAUCUGUACUUGAAGUCUGCUUACAUGUACUUGCAAAAUAUGAGAGACCUGGAAGAAAAACACCCAUAUAUACACAAAAUGGUUUUGGAGGGAAAUCACGUUGUUAGAAGAAGCGACCGCUUUUGGGGUGGAAUAUCUACCGAUUUAACCAUAGAACAGGUACUCAUGCGUUCAUUAAAGACAAGCGGCGGAUUGACUGGGGGAAGAGGUAUGACAGUAGCACAGCGCAUUCUUUGGUUAUUAUCUAUGCCUUCAAUUGCCGAAAUGAAUAUUGCGAUGCAGACAUAUACCGGUACCCAGUUUGAAACAAUUGAACAACACAAAGAAGCGUCAGAGUCUAGAAUAGCUCGGGACGAAAAAGAUUUAUCCGUAUCCCAGUUUCUCACUGAUCACAGCCCGUUUAAUGAAACACAUACAUCUGAGGCAAUCCGAAAUAUUGAAACUGGUGUAAUAUGUGGUCUAAAAGUGAACGUGGACUCAGCUGCCAUGAUUGGGUCCGAAAUAAUUGACGACAUGGUUGGGCAAACCUUCAGCGACUACACAUUUAAACGUUCUCAGCAAGCUAUAACACUCGCCGCGACUUCAUCAGUUACCUUGAAAGGUGAAAAAGUUCAUAUAGAUCCGCAGCUAUUGUUCCAGCGGUUAACAACGGUCGCUAGGUAUGGAGAUGCCUAUCCAGAUCUUUUCAAAUACUAAUUGUUAAGUGUACCUUCAUCAUUAUUUGACACUCACGGACUUCUUCGUGAACCACAAAAAUCAUUGCUCGCUGACUCAAUCUGGAAACUUGGCAACUGCAGCCCGGAACGUAAUGUUUGUGAGUCUGAUGUUGUUCAUGUUAUAGAUGGUGGGUCCCUUAUACAAAAGUUGCCGUGGCAGAAAGGAACUUUCAAUGACAUAUUUGAACAAUACUACGAAUACCUACAUCGCAGAUACAAUGUUGCUGUCGUUGUCUUCGAUGGCUACGCAACCGGUCCAUCAACCAAAGACACUGCUCAUACACGACGAGCGAAAGGGGGCAUUGGUCCAAAGGUGGUUUCGACCAGUCUACUCCAUUUCGUGGAAGAAAGGAUACAUUCUUGAGAAACCUUGAGAACAAGCAACGUUUCAUUGAACUGCUCGGCGAACAUCUCAAUCAACAUGGUAUAAAAGUUUAUAAUGCAGAGGGAGACGCUGAUGUUCUGACUGUGAAUUAAAUUAUUAUUUGUAUUAAAUAAACAGUUAAUAUUUAAGUUUGCAAUAAAGAAUGCACUGACAUGCAUCUUCUAAGCAAUGCAUUCUAAGUUUGUGUCUUAUUGUAACAUCGAACUCAGUGUGUUUCUUGCAGAAUUAUAUUUUCAUGUACCUGAACAUGCAUGUACCAUAAUGCAUGUAUAAAUAAACAUAACGAAUUA
Dreissena polymorpha is the source of this 4484-nucleotide long non-coding RNA. RefSeq lists it as uncharacterized. The transcript has 2 exons. The record is from RefSeq and is a predicted model, not a curated record. Lineage: Eukaryota; Metazoa; Mollusca; Bivalvia; Myida; Dreissenidae.